AGGAGGCUGUGCAAUUCAGUUUGAUUUGAUUUUAUAAAAAAAUUUACUGUUGUUUUUUUUUUUACUUU
Molecule: transfer RNA, 68 nt
Filed under: Ceriagrion nipponicum
Lineage: Eukaryota; Metazoa; Arthropoda; Insecta; Odonata; Coenagrionidae
Description: tRNA-Leu
Source: RNAcentral